Molecule: ribosomal RNA, 464 nt
Filed under: uncultured bacterium
Lineage: Bacteria
Description: bacterial SSU rRNA
Rfam family: Bacterial small subunit ribosomal RNA
Source: RNAcentral
AGAGUUGAUCAUGGCUCAGAACGAACGCUGGCGGCAGGCCUAACACAUGCAAGUCGAGCGCGCCCUUCGGGGUGAGCGGCGGACGGGUUAGUAACGCGUGGGAACGUACCCUUUGGUAGGGAAUAGCCACUGGAAACGGUGAGUAAUACCCUAUGAGCCCUUCGGGGGAAAGAUUUAUCGCCAAAGGAUCGGCCCGCGUUAGAUUAGGUAGUUGGUGGGGUAAUGGCCUACCAAGCCUACGAUCUAUAGCUGGUUUUAGAGGAUGAUCAGCAACACUGGGACUGAGACACGGCCCAGACUCCUACGGGAGGCAGCAGUGGGGAAUCUUGGACAAUGGGGGCAACCCUGAUCCCAGCCAUGCCGCGUGAGUGAAGAAGGCCUUAGGGUCGUAAAGCUCUUUCGCCUGUGAAGAUAAUGACGGUAGCAGGUAAAGAAACCCCGGCUAACUCCGUGCCAGCAGCUGC